AGGUGGAAGCGUGGUGACACGUGGAGCUGACGAAUACUAAUCGAUCGAAGACUUAAUCAAUUU
RNAcentral lists this ribosomal RNA (63 nucleotides) under Burkholderia cepacia. RNAcentral's name for it is "partial 23S ribosomal RNA". The record is from RNAcentral. RNAcentral also lists the same sequence under 1 other name. Lineage: Bacteria; Pseudomonadati; Pseudomonadota; Betaproteobacteria; Burkholderiales; Burkholderiaceae.